RNAcentral lists this ribosomal RNA (501 nucleotides) under Stratigos sp. n. 1 ASH-2024. RNAcentral describes it as "partial large subunit ribosomal RNA". It matches the Rfam family "Bacterial large subunit ribosomal RNA", at positions 1810 to 2606 of the family's 2925-position model. Lineage: Eukaryota; Metazoa; Annelida; Polychaeta; Phyllodocida; Polynoidae. The record is from RNAcentral.
AAAACAUUGCCUUUAGAUAAAAAAUUAAAGGUUCAUCCUGCCCAGUGAAAUAUUUCAACGGCCGCGGUACCCUAACCGUGCAAAGGUAGCAUAAUCAUUUGCCUUUUAAUUGUAGGCUAGUAUGAACGGACAAACGAAAUUUCAUCUGUAUCAAUUUUAUUAAAUAAAAAUUAGACCUCAUGUGAAGAUACAUGAAUAAUAUUGAAAGACAAGAAGACCCUAUAGAGUUUUAGUAGUAAACUUUACCUAUAAUAACCUACUUUGGUUGGGGCGACCAAGGAUUAUUUAAAACAUCCUUAUAUUAAAAGAAUAAUUAUUCUAUAUAAUGACCCUGAUAGAUCAGAUUUUUAGAAUAAACUACCUUAGGGAUAACAGGCUUAUCUUCCUAAAGAGUCCAAAUUGACAGGAAGGUCUGGCACCUCGAUGUUGGCUUAGAGUAACCAAUUAAUGCAAAAGUUAAUUUUGGUCGGUUUGUUCAACCGUUAAAUCUCUACGUGAUCU